Molecule: long non-coding RNA, 1402 nt
Filed under: Gossypium barbadense (sea-island cotton)
Lineage: Eukaryota; Viridiplantae; Streptophyta; Magnoliopsida; Malvales; Malvaceae
Description: long non-coding RNA (GBAR_LNC007681)
Source: RNAcentral
CCUCUAAAAUUAAUAUUCUCACUCCGCCACAGUCUAAAAAUUAGAAUGACCCAAGAUUCAAUGUCACAUUCUUGAAAAUGGAAAAUAAAUGCAAACUUGACAGGAACAAUAAGAAACAAAAAAUGUCGAAAGAACGCUCUCCUUCUUUGUCACACUCUGCCAACGAUGACGAUGGAGAUUUACAUUCUGUCGAGGAUCGGUUUACCAAGAAAGUGAGAUUUAAGGACGGACUUGAUGAAGCAGCCGAGGAUAUGGUUGUGGAACCUAGUCUGUCUUCAACACCGUCAUGGAAAGAUAAGCUUCUGGGUGGUGCUUCGGUUUCAAUCAGAAUAGAUCGCGACCUUUUUCUAUCUGGAAAAGACGAUGACAAUAAUGGAGAUUUUGAUUUAUUAGAUGAUGACGUGCAAACAUCAAUCAUUAAUGGAAUGCCAACCAUCAGUUUUUCUGAUCGGAUUAAGGAAAUUUUAUUCAAAGAGAUGGAAUUAAUUGUGGUUAUCAAACUCUUAGGCCGGAGUAUUGGCUACAAUACCUUACACAAUCGCAUAACUAGCUUGUGGAAACCUAUUUCUCCUUUUCACCUCAUGGAUAUUGAAAAUGGGUACUACCUGGUUCGAUUUGUGAACAGAUCUGACUAUGAUUGCAUUUUGUCGUAGGGGCCCUAGAUCAUAUUUGGACAAUAUCUCACUGUUCAACCCUUGACCAAGGACUUCAGCUACAACCUUACCCUAGUGUGGUUUUGGCAUGGAUCGGACUACCAGGUCUCCGGGGUUUAUGUUUUGUCGACAAAUUGUGGAUGCUAUUGGGGGACUUAUUGGGAAGGUUGUGAAACUGGAUUUUCAGACAGAUAAUAGAACUAGAGGACGUUUUGUUCGCCUUGCUAUUUUCAUAAAUCUUGAUAAGCCUCUGGCCUCUCAAGUUAUGGUUGAUGGGGUGGUUUAGCGGGUGGAGUACGAGGUUCUUCCGACCGUUUGUUUUGGUUUCGGCAAGUACGGCCAUGUCAAGGAUUUAUGCCCUACGGUGGCUUUGGAUCGGGUCCCUACAAGGCUUCCUGAGAAGAUAAGUGUACCUUCAGAUUGUACCGACGGCGAAGCAGUUGAGGAAAGGAGGUCAGAGUUUAGGCCCUGGAUGCUGGUUGAAAUAAGGGCUCGACGUGGUCAAAAGAACGGUCGGAAUAACACCGGAGGGAAUAAACGAGUAAUUAAUGGAGCUAAAUCUUGUGAGGUUAUUGGAAGCUCUCGAUUUACGGUGUUGAAUAAGGUGGGAAAGACAAGCGAAGAUCACGCAGGUUUUGCUGGGAAUACUCUAUCGGUUAAGGAGAAUGAUAUUUUGUCGGUGAAGGUCUGAAGCAAGUAUAAGAGGAGCUGAAGUUUUUAAUAAUAAGGCUGGGGGUUUUAAAUUGAGG